UUGUUUGUUUGGAAGCAAGGUUUAUGAUCAGAUUUUUGUAUACCAGAGAACACUCAAGUCUCCCAACUGCCCGCCUGCCGAGGUUGGAUGUGGCUCCACCAGCUCUGCCUCCCUACUUCCUGUACUGCUGCGGCUACUGCUACAUCAUCUAUCGUGCCUGUUUUUCUAGGAAUCUUAAUGCCAUCAUGCUGGCAUUUUGUUCAACUCAUUAGGUGCGUCAACACUGAAAUUCACUCUUACGGUCAUGUUUUGUUAUUGCAUUAGAGUUUGCAGCAUGAAUCAGGGACAUCCAAUGUUGUUAGAUCUAUUAAUGCAAU
Molecule: long non-coding RNA, 317 nt
Organism: Zea mays
Lineage: Eukaryota; Viridiplantae; Streptophyta; Magnoliopsida; Poales; Poaceae
Exons: 2
Source: RefSeq, a predicted model, not a curated record